UACGGAGGGUGCGAGCGUUGUCCGGAAUCAUUGGGCGUAAAGGGCGCGUAGGUGGCUUCUUAAGCGUGCGGUGAAAGCCCGGGGCUCAACUCCGGAAUUGCCUUUAAGACUGCAUCGCUAGAAUUGUGGAGAGGUAAGUGGAAUUCCGAGUGUAGAGGUGAAAUUCGUAGAUAUUCGGAAGAACACCAGUGGCGAAGGCGACUUACUGGACACAUAUUGACGCUGAGGUGCGAAAGCGUGGGGAGCAAACAGG
RNAcentral lists this ribosomal RNA (253 nucleotides) under uncultured bacterium. RNAcentral's name for it is "partial 16S ribosomal RNA". It matches the Rfam family "Bacterial small subunit ribosomal RNA", at positions 524 to 776 of the family's 1533-position model. The record is from RNAcentral.